RNAcentral lists this non-coding RNA (2309 nucleotides) under Pan troglodytes (chimpanzee). The record is from RNAcentral. Lineage: Eukaryota; Metazoa; Chordata; Mammalia; Primates; Hominidae.
UUUCUGGAACUGCUAUUUGUAUAUUGCAUGAUAUUUUAUCAGGAAAAAAAAUAAAACAGAUCUAAUUUCAUGAAAAUGCUGUUGCCAUAAUGCUCAGGAGAACAGGGGGAAGAGAGAGAUUCAAGUCUUCCUAAUGUCUACCUUAUAUGCAGAGCCUUGGAAAGAUGGGCAAAUGCUCUGUGACAAGCCACCAGGGUAGACUGGUACUGAAAAGACCCUACUACACACAGGGGCUCUGUCCCUGGCUGGAAAGUUACAAGUCAGCCUACCUCUCUGUGAUCUGGUUUCCACACCUACUACUCCUUAUCCCAUGAGGAGCUUCUGGAAACUAAAAAAGGUACGUAAUCAAAACCAAAAGAAGACAUUGGUUCAAGGAUCCUCAAGAGCUCAGCAUCAUGUUUCUGUUGUUUCUUUUUGAAUAGACAAAAUUCUCAGAGUGUUCAGUAGCUACACACACACACACACACACAAACACACACACCCCACACACAAAAGUAGCAUCUCCACAAUGUUGCAUGCAUCAGGAAAGCAAAUGUUUUUACCGCAGGCUGGGCUAUGCCUCAUCCUCUUAAACUAGCAUCUUGAGGUCUUUGCAGAAGCCAUUUUAUAGAUGCCUACACUCAUCCCAUUACUUGCAUUCUCAUCCUGAGGGUAUUUUAAGGAGUCAAAAUAAAGUUUACUUAGGCGUGUGUGAGAGACAGAAUGAUAGACCAAAAGAGAAGGCUAGGGCUUCAUAAUAUUUAGAUAAUGAUGAAACUGAAAUGGCUGAUGCAGAGUGCAGUAAUUAUAUAGGAUACUUUAUUAUUUGGGUUCACCUUUGCUCAGUAGUGAAUUAUAAGCACUCUACUAGGUGAGAGGUUUGGCUUCCAAAAUGAACAGCUGGCGCAGGAUGGAACUCUCAGACCAUGUCACAUGGUAAAUAAAAUAAUAAUACAUAGAAACUUUAGGAUCUCCUAAUUGGAAGCUUCCUUUAGACAACGAAAGAUGCCAGGCUAUCUGCUGCCCCCUAACUGGUACCAUGAAGAACAGCACAUAACUUUUUAAGAAGCAAAGUCUGAUUCAGGUACAAUUAGUUAGUGGCUGAGUCAACCUCCUAAGUUAUAGUUGUGAAUUUGGCCAUUUCCAUGAACCUGUUUGUUGCGAUUAAGGCAAAGUCAUCGGGUAGAGUCUGUUUUGUUUCUGUCUUUUCCUGAUGGAGAGGCACUCCUGAUUUGCAGCAGCUGCCCAGGUAGAAGAGUGUUGACCAAAGGACACAUCACCAACACAGACUGUUAAUCAUGUGACUAGAGAAAACUCUCAUGGUGGCAUUCAAAUUUCCAUAUCCUUCUUCUAUGGAAAUUUCUGAGAGACCCAGAAAAGAAGCAUAACCACGAGGGAAAGUGAUUCCUGCAGACCUGAACAUUCCAGACUUACCAGGUGAUCCAGCUGUCUGUCAGCGAGAAGAGGCUGAGGCGCCCCCUUCUGGUGCAUCUGAAUAGUAAGAAACCCUGUGUAGAAAGAAACCCUGUAGCAAUUGGGCACCUUCUCUGUGAUCUGUCCGCUUCCAAUACCAAAAUUGUUGCUUUUUAAAUGAUAUCCAUCGUAAGCUUUAAAAAGACGCAUAUUAUUUGUAUAAAAUGUGGAAGACGCAGAACAAAAGAUGUAAAUCACAUGUAAUCAUCCCUUCCAGAAAUAAUCAUUAUUAAAAUUUCUGUGUAUGUGUUAAAAAAAAUUGCAAUCCGACUGUAAUAUAAUCCUGUAUACUGAUAUUUUUCACCUAUCACUGUAUGUUGAGCAUUUUCAAUAGUCAAAUUAUUUCUUGAAAAUAUUAAUGACUGGGGAGUAACCUUUCAAAUAGGUGUGUCUUUAUUUUUAAACCAGUCCACAAUUAUUGUAUAUUGAAGUCAUUUCCCAAAUUUUGUAAGUAUAAGUAUUGCAUCCAUCCUUAUAUGUAUUUAAAUGCAUCUCUUAUUAUUUCCUUGAGAUAAGUUCCUAGAAGUGGAAUCACUGGAUUUAAAAAUGUGGACAUAUUUAUGCCAGACGCGGUGGGUCAUGCCUGUAAUCCCAGCACUUUGGGAGACCGAAGCAGGUGGAUCACUUGAGGUCAGGAGUUCGAGACCAGCCUGGCCAACAUAGUGAAACCCCAUCUCUACUAAAAUUACAAAAAUUAGCCAGGUGUGGUGGUGCACGCCUGUAAUCCCAGCUACUCAGGAGGCUGAGGCAUAAGAAUCACUUGAACUCAGGAGGCGGAGGUUGCAGUGAGCCGAGAUGGCACCACUGCGCUCCAGUCUGGGCGACAGAGUAAGACUUCAUCUCAAAAAUAAAUAAAU